RNAcentral lists this ribosomal RNA (384 nucleotides) under uncultured bacterium. Its description in RNAcentral is "bacterial SSU rRNA". It matches the Rfam family "Bacterial small subunit ribosomal RNA", at positions 42 to 454 of the family's 1533-position model. The record is from RNAcentral.
UCAGGCCUAACACAUGCAAGUCGAGCGAGGCAGCAAUGCCUAGCGGCGGACGGGUGAGUAACGUGUGGGAACGUACCCUUUGGUUCGGAAUAGCCCUGGGAAACUGGGAGUAAUACCGGAUACGGUCGAGAGACGAAAGAUUUAUCGCCGAAGGAUCGGCCCGCGUUGGAUUAGGUAGUUGGUGGGGUAAUGGCCUACCAAGCCGACGAUCCAUAGCUGGUUUGAGAGGAUGAUCAGCCACAUCUGGGAGUGAGACACGGCCCAGACUCCUACGGGAGGCAGCAGUGGGGAAUUUUAAAGAAUGGGCGCAAGCCUGAUCUAUCCAUGCCGCGUCUUAAAGGGAGGCCUUAGGGUUGUAAAGCUCUUCAGGGGGGAAGAUAAUGA